Micropterus salmoides (largemouth bass) is the source of this 349-nucleotide non-coding RNA. The record is from the annotation of a RefSeq genome assembly. NCBI's taxonomy places the organism in Eukaryota, Metazoa, Chordata, Actinopteri, Centrarchiformes, Centrarchidae.
GACAUGAACCACUGGCUGAGAAACAUCCUGAUUCUGACUCUCUGGCUAGAGUGUAAAGGAGAAGACAGAGUGACCCAGCCAGCAGGAGAUGUCAUUGCUGCUGAAGGAGACACAGUUACACUUGGCUGUACUUUUGAGACGAGUGACCAAUACCCCUACUUGUACUGGUACAAACAAGAAGUAAAUGAGUCUCCUAAGUACAUGCUGAAAAGUUACUCAAAAACAACAGAUUUUGAUGCAGAGUUCACGAAAGACAGAUUUAAUGCUACAAUCAAGGAUAAGUCAGUUCCUCUGAAGAUCCAGAAGCUUCAGCUGUCUGACUCUGCUGUGUACUACUGUGCUCUGCAGC